GGGGGGAGCAAGCGUUGUUCGGAUUUACUGGGCGUAAAGGGCGCGUAGGCGGCCUCCGCAAGUCAGUUGUGAAAUCUCCGAGCUUAACUCGGAAAGGUCAACUGAUACUGCGGGGCUAGAGUGCGGAAGGGGCAACUGGAAUUCUUGGUGUAGCGGUGAAAUGCGUAGAUAUCAAGAGGAACACCUGCGGCGAAGGCGGGUUGCUGGGCCGACACUGACGCUGAGGCGCGAAAGCUAGGGGAGCGAACGGGAUUAGAUACCCCGGUAGUCCUAGCCUUAAACGAUGAAUGCUUGGUGUCUGGGGUUAUAUAGUCCCCGGGUGCCGUCGCUAACGCUUUAAGCAUUCCGCCUGGGGAGUACGGUCGCAAGACUG
RNAcentral lists this ribosomal RNA (373 nucleotides) under uncultured bacterium. RNAcentral describes it as "bacterial SSU rRNA". It matches the Rfam family "Bacterial small subunit ribosomal RNA", at positions 527 to 896 of the family's 1533-position model. The record is from RNAcentral.